UCGAUAUCGCGAUUCGCCCUUAGAGUUUGAUCCUGGCUCAGGAUGAACGCUAGCGGCAGGCCUAACACAUGCAAGUCGGACGGUAACAGGUCCCGCCUUCGGGCGGGACGCUGACGAGUGGCGCACGGGUGCGCAACGCGUAUAGAACCUACCCUGUACAGGGGGAUAGCCCGGAGAAAUCCGGAUUAAUACCCCGUGGUAAUGAGAAUCGGCAUCGGUUUUUAUUUAAAGCUUUCGGGCGGUACGGGAUGGCUAUGCGUCCUAUUAGUUAGUUGGUAAGGUAACGGCUUACCAAGGCUACGAUAGGUAGGGGCCCUGAGAGGGGGAUCCCCCACACUGGUACUGAGACACGGACCAGACUCCUACGGGAGGCAGCAGUGAGGAAUAUUGGACAAUGGGCGGAAGCCUGAUCCAGCCAUGCCGCGUGCAGGAAGACAGCCCUACGGGUUGUAAACUGCUUUUAUACGGGAAGAAUAAUCACGACGAGUCGUGGGAUGACGGUACCGUAAGAAUAAGGACCGGCUAACUCCGUGGCAGCAGCCGCGGUAAUACGGAGGGUCCGAGCGUUAUCCGGAAUUAUUGGGUUUAAAGGGUCCGCAGGCGGGCGAUUUAGUCAGGGGUGAAAUGGUGCGGCUCAACCGUAGCACUGCCCUUGAUACUGGUUGUCUUGAGUUAUGGUGGAGUGGCCGGAAUAUGUAGUGUAGCGGUGAAAUGCAUAGAUAUUACAUAGAACACCGAUCGCGAAGGCAGGUCACUAACCAUUUGACUGACGCUGAUGGACGAAAGCGUGGGGAGCGAACAGGAUUAGAUACCCUGGUAGUCCACGCCGUAAACGAUGGAUACUAGCUGUCCGUCCCACAAUGGUGGGAUGGGUGGCCCAGCGAAAGUGAUAAGUAUCCCACCUGGGGAGUACGUUCGCAAGAAUGAAACUCAAAGGAAUUGACGGGGGCCCGCACAAGCGGUGGAGCAUGUGGUUUAAUUCGAUGAUACGCGAGGAACCUUACCAGGGCUUAAAUGCAGAAUGACAGGUUUAGAGAUAGACUUUUCUUCGGACAUUUUGCAAGGUGCUGCAUGGUUGUCGUCAGCUCGUGCCGUGAGGUGUCAGGUUAAGUCCUAUAACGAGCGCAACCCCUGCCGUCAGUUGCCAGCAAGUAAAGUUGGGGACUCUGACGGGACUGCCGGUGCAAACCGCGAGGAAGGUGGGGACGACGUCAAAUCAUCACGGCCCUUACGUCCUGGGCUACACACGUGCUACAAUGGCCGGUACAGCGAGCAGCCACUCCGCAAGGGGGAGCGAAUCUACAAAACCGGUCACAGUUCGGAUCGGGGUCUGCAACUCGACCCCGUGAAGCUGGAAUCGCUAGUAAUCGGAUAUCAGCCAUGAUCCGGUGAAUACGUUCCCGGGCCUUGUACACACCGCCCGUCAAGCCAUGGAAGCCGGGAGUGCCUGAAGUCCGUCACCGUAAGGAGCGGCCUAGGGCAAAAUCGGUAACUAGGGCUAAGUCGUAACAAGGUAUCCGUAAAGGGCGAAUCGUAAGCU
RNAcentral lists this ribosomal RNA (1540 nucleotides) under uncultured bacterium. RNAcentral describes it as "bacterial SSU rRNA". It matches the Rfam family "Bacterial small subunit ribosomal RNA". The record is from RNAcentral.